RNAcentral lists this ribosomal RNA (440 nucleotides) under uncultured bacterium. Its description in RNAcentral is "partial 16S ribosomal RNA". It matches the Rfam family "Bacterial small subunit ribosomal RNA", at positions 338 to 795 of the family's 1533-position model. The record is from RNAcentral.
CCUACGGGUGGCAGCAGUGGGGGAUAUUGCACAAUGGGGGGAACCCUGAUGCAGCGACGCCGCGUGGGUGAAGAAGCGCCUCGGCGCGUAAAGCCCUGUCAGCAGGGAAGAAAAUGACGGUACCUGAAGAAGAAGCCCCUGCUAACUACGUGCCAGCAGCCGCGGUCAUACGUAGGGGGCAAGCGUUAUCCGGAUUUACUGGGUGUAAAGGGGGCGCAGGCGGCGGUGCAAGCCAGGAGUGAAAGCCCGGGGCUCAACCCGGGGAGUGCUCUGGAAACUGGGUGGCUGGAGUGCAGGAGGGGAAGGCGGAAUUCCUGGUGUAGCGGUGAAAUGCGUAGAUAUCAGGAGGAACACCGGUGGCGAAGGCGGCCUGCUGGUCUGCAACUGACGUUGAGGCCCGAAAGCGUGGGGAGCAAACAGGAUUAGAUACCCCUGUAGUC